Molecule: ribosomal RNA, 497 nt
Filed under: uncultured bacterium
Lineage: Bacteria
Description: partial 16S ribosomal RNA
Rfam family: Bacterial small subunit ribosomal RNA
Source: RNAcentral
GAUGAACGCUGGCGGCGUGCCUAAUACAUGCAAGUCGAGCGAACAGACGCGGCGCUUGCUCCUCUGACGUUAGCGGCGGGCGGGUGAGUCACACGUGGAUACCCUACCUAUAAGACUGGGAUCACUUCGGGAAACCGGCUCUAAUACCGGAUAAUCUAUUGAACCGCAUGGUUCAAUAGUAAAAUACGGUUUUGCUGUCACUUAUCGCUGGAUCCCGGCCGCAUUAGCUGGUUGGUACGGUAACGGCUUACCAAGGCAACGAUGCGUAGCCGAACUGACUGGGGGAUAGGCCACAUUGGAAGGGGACCACGGACCAGACGACUGCGGGAGGCAGCAGAAGGGAAUGGGCGGCAGCGGGCGAAAACCUGACGGAGCAACGCGGAGUGAGAGAUGAAGGUGCCGGGAUCGUAAAACUCUGUUAUGAGGGAAGAACAAAUGUCUAAUGAGCUAUGGACGUCUUGACGGUACCUGAUCAGAAAGCCACGGCUAACUACGUG